AUGAGGAUCCGGAGGCGGCCGCAGGCGCAGCAGCAGCAGGCACUGCCGCCCUACCCGCUGCCCUCAGAUCCGUUCACCGCGCCCCACCCACCGCCACCGCCACCGCCGAACGCGGAGGAGCGACACUGGCUGCCUCUCCCGGGGGACGAGGCCGAGCAGGGGAAGAAGAGGAGGAUCGAGUCGGAGGUGGAGUUACACCCGCUCCGCCCAGACGCGGAUCCCGGCCCGGCCGCAUUGCCGUCAGGGCCGCAGGUCGGCAACGUGGUGGUGGCGGGACGCAGCAGCAGCGACGACGACGACCCACCGGUUCACAACCACGGCGGCGGUGCGCAACGUCAGGGGGCAGCUGGCCGCACCCACGAGAGCCUAGAGAAUGGACACUGCAACGAGUCUGAGCGGCCGGUGAUCGGUUCCGGAGAACGUCUCGUCAUCCCGGCAAUGCCAGUGGUCCCCGUAAACGUGAAGGAAGGGAUCAAGAUCGGUGGCGGCGCCAAGAAGAGGCAGCGCGGCCCGCCGGUGCUGAUGGAAGGGUCGCGGUGCAGCCGCGUCAACGGGCGCGGGUGGCGCUGCAGCCAGCCCACGCUGGUCGGCUACUCCCUCUGCGAGCACCACCUCGGCAAGGGCCGCGGGCAGCGGAGCGCGAGCCGCACCGAGCCCGGCAGCUGGAAGAACGGCGCGGCCACGCUCGGCCGCACUGAGCCCAGCAUCAGGAAGAAGGCCGCGCAGCCGCCUGUUCCCAUGGUCACCGCGGUGCCCACCGCCAACGGCCGCGCCGGCGCGCCCAAGCUCGGCCGCACCGAUCCGGCCAGCAGCAGGAAGAACGUGGACGCGCUGGCUAUGGUCGCCGCCGCGGCGCGCGAAGGCAGCGACCUGCCGAGCCUGCGUGCAGCACCUCUAGCGGCGGAGGUCGAUUGA
RNAcentral lists this ribosomal RNA (915 nucleotides) under Triticum aestivum (bread wheat). RNAcentral describes it as "partial small subunit ribosomal RNA". Lineage: Eukaryota; Viridiplantae; Streptophyta; Magnoliopsida; Poales; Poaceae. The record is from RNAcentral.